CUUCCCACUGAUGCAAGAACAGCCUGCUGGCUGCUGUGUGUCUGCUUUGAGAGCCAUGGCUCAGAGAUGGAAGAGAGUCCAGGGGUGGAGAAGAGCAGACAAGAACUUAAAAGCUAGACCUCAUUGCUGAAGAUGCCAUGUGCAUUUGACCCAAGAUUCCAAGGAAUAGAUCUGGAACUGACCUGGAAGCCACCUCCCUGAGGGGUAGCUGAAGACUCUACACAAGCUGCCAGGAAAGGAAGCCAGUCAACUGUCAAGCCAGCUGUGAAGCCCACAGACCACCCCAAUGACCAGCACGGCGAGAGAGCCCCAAGGGUGUAGUAGUGACUCCUGUGUCUUGAGGGCAACCAACAGCCAUCUAAAUUGGACCUUAGGCAAAUUCAACAGGAGAGAACUGCUGUCUGGUACAUGAAACCUAAUCAGCUACCAACUACCCGUGGCUGGUGAAGCCGUCGAUCCUAAAAGAGGACUUAGCAUGCCACUUCCCCAAGUCAGCACAGCUCCUAACAGCAUCCUAAAUACUUCUCCUUAUGCUCGCAGUAAAUGAGCUCUUGCUUCUUCUUGCAGCAGAUGGAAACCAUCUCAGAAAUCUAUGGCCAAUCAAAAUGAAGUGGGCAACUGUCCGUGGGGUGCCCAGCCCCAAGUCACCCCUCUACAGUACUCCUCCUACACACACGGCUCCAAGAACAGCACAGGAGAGAAGACAGAAAGACUUCAAGAGUCAGAGCAGAAAAACUACACCCAUAAAAUCCCAUAAAUUUGGUCAUGUAAACAGGGCUGGUCCAAUGACAAUGUGGGUGGGGGUCAAUCUCACAAGGCCCUACCACUCGAUAAAGAGCUGGGGCGAUCAAUGGCGGCUGAGAGAAGAUCAGCUUCUGCUAGAACAAGUGCCCUGUUGGGUAAUCAGUUCCGCAGGCAGCUGCAGGCACACGUUGGAAGGGUCACACGGGUGUCUGCUUUGGAAGACCGGAGGGUUGGGCCAUUUGAAUGCGACUGAGCUUGAUGUGUCCCUGAAGGCUGCAGCUGGACCACCUCGACCCCAAAACAGAGCAGGGCGUGCCGCAGAAGAAAGCGCAUCAUGUCUAAGCAAAGAAUAAACACAUUUAAUGCUG
This is a non-coding RNA of Peromyscus maniculatus bairdii (prairie deer mouse), 1112 nucleotides long. The record is from RefSeq and is a predicted model, not a curated record. NCBI's taxonomy places the organism in Eukaryota, Metazoa, Chordata, Mammalia, Rodentia, Cricetidae.